This 395-nucleotide ribosomal RNA is filed under the name uncultured bacterium. RNAcentral's name for it is "bacterial SSU rRNA". It matches the Rfam family "Bacterial small subunit ribosomal RNA", at positions 505 to 898 of the family's 1533-position model. The record is from RNAcentral.
GUGUCAGCAGCCGCGGUAACACGUAGGGCGCAAGCGUUGUCCGGAAUUAUUGGGCGUAAAGAGCUCGUAGGCGGUCUGUUGCGUCCGCUGUGAAAACUCGGGGCUUAACCCCGAGCCUGCAGUGGAUACGGGCAGACUAGAGGUAGGUAGGGGAGAAUGGAAUUCCCGGUGUAGCGGUGAAAUGCGCAGAUAUCGGGAGGAACACCGGUGGCGAAGGCGGUUCUCUGGGCCUUACCUGACGCUGAGGAGCGAAAGCGUGGGGAGCGAACAGGAUUAGAUACCCUGGUAGUCCACGCCGUAAACGUUGGGCGCUAGGUGUGGGAUCCUUCCACGGAUUCCGUGCCGCAGCUAACGCAUUAAGCGCCCCGCCUGGGGAGUACGGCCGCAAGGCUAAA